This 445-nucleotide ribosomal RNA is filed under the name uncultured bacterium. Its description in RNAcentral is "partial 16S ribosomal RNA". It matches the Rfam family "Bacterial small subunit ribosomal RNA", at positions 338 to 795 of the family's 1533-position model. The record is from RNAcentral.
CCUACGGGUGGCAGCAGUGGGGAAUAUUGCACAAUGGGGGAAACCCUGAUGCAGCGACGCCGCGUGAAGGAAGAAGUAUUUCGGAUUGUAAACCCCUGUCAUGUGGGAGCAAAUUAAAAAGAUAGUACCACAAUAGGAAGUGACGGCUAACUCUGUGUCAGCAGCCGCGGUAAUACAGAGGUCUCAAGCGUUGUUCGGAAUCACUGGGCGUAAAGCGAUCGUAGGCUGUUUCGUAAGUCGUGUGUGAAAGGCGCGGGAUCAACCCGCGGACGGCAAAUUAUACUGCGAGACUAGAGUAAUGGAGGGGGAACCGGAAUUCGCGGUGUAGCAGUGAAAUGCGUAGAUAUCGAGAGGAACACUCGUGGCGAAGGCGGGUUCCUGGACACUAACUGACGCUGAGGCACGAAGGCCAGGGGAGCGAAAGGGAUUAGAUACCCUGGUAGUC